RNA transcript from Nerophis ophidion (straightnose pipefish), 6771 nucleotides. It is a transcript of the gene named RasGEF domain family, member 1Ba, with no coding region annotated. The transcript is spliced from 17 exons. The record is from RefSeq and is a predicted model, not a curated record. NCBI's taxonomy places the organism in Eukaryota, Metazoa, Chordata, Actinopteri, Syngnathiformes, Syngnathidae.
AUGAAUUCUUCUUCUUCUUCUUCUACUAGAGGAAGUGGUGACUUGUCCAGGGUGUAUCCCGUCUUCCGCCCGAUUUUAGCUGAGAUAGGCACCAACGACCCCCGCAACUCCAAAAGGGAAUAAGCGGUAGAAAAUGGAUGAAUGGAUGGAUGGAAAGGAGACACGCACGUGAAAGAAAGUGUUGUGGAAACUGAAGAGGAAGAUCUUACCAGAGAGGACGACCACUAUUCAUUUCCUGAUAAUGAGGAGGGGGGCUUUCCAACCACUGAGGAUGAAGAAGGGGAUGGAUCAUCAGGACAUAGUGCAGUGACACUUUCUUCCAAAGGUCUUGCUGCCAAGAAAAGGCGAGCCUGGACAGGGAAAGAGGACAAGAUGCCUCAGACUCUGCCCUCCUCGGGCCAGGACAACAAGAACUUGGACCAGAUCAAGGACCAGGUCUACGCUGGACUCUACUACCAUGACAACAACCUGGCGUCCGGGUCCUUGGAGGCCCUCAUUCAUCACCUGGUUCCCACUUUGGACUACUACCCUGAUAGGACGUUCAUCUUCACCUUCCUACUCAGUUCCCGCCUCUUCAUCCCGCCGCACCAGCUGCUGGCCCAGGUGUGUCAUCUGUGGGCGGAGCAACACGGAGCGGGCCACGCCCCAGCAGAGCAGAUCCUGCAGCUUCUGACGGACUGGACAGAAACCUUCCCUCAGGACUUCAGAGACCAGCGUAUGAUGUGUGCUCUGAAGGAGGUCACGCUGCACCUCUACAGCCGAGACCAGGUCUACAGGGAGGCGGUGAGUCAGUUGAGUCUCGGUCUGACCAGGAGGCUGGCGGUGCUGGACCAGUACCAGGAGGCCCUGGUCAAGAUCAACCCGCGCCUCUCCCUUGUCCAAGCCAAGCCCCGGCGGGACCUGCUGUCCAUCUGCAAGCACCCCUGCACCGUGGCCCAGCAGCUGACCCACGUAGAACUGGAGCGACUGAGCUACAUCGGCCCUGAAGAGUUUGUGCAGGCCUUUGUGUGCCAAGACCAGGACAUGGACCAGGACCAGGGUCAGAAGAAGACCAGCAACCUGGGGGCCUACGUGGACUGGUUCAACAGACUCAGCUACCUGGUGGCCACAGAGAUCUGCUUGCCGCUGAAGAAGAAGCACAGAGUCCGAGUCCUGGACUUCUUCAUCCAUGUGGCGCACGAGUGCUUCAACAUCGGCAACUUCAACUCCCUCUUGGCCAUCUUGUCCGGCAUGAACAUGAGUCCCGUGUCCCGCCUCAAGAAGACCUGGAGUAAAGUCAAGACGGCCAAGUUUGAGAUCCUGGAGCGCCAGAUGGAUGCUUCCGGAAACUUCUACAACUACAGGACAUCUCUGCGCGGCGCCACCCAGAGGUCACGGAGCGCCAGCAGCAGCAGGGAAAAGAUGGUGGUGGUGCCCUUCUUCAGCCUGCUGGUGAAAGACAUCUACUUCCUCCAGCAGGCGUGUGCCAGCCGCCUGCACAACUCACACCUCAACUUCCAGCGUUGUAUUUGGCGUCGUACGAGAGUGAGGGUCCUGACAACAACAUGGAGAAGGACAGGUGGAAAUCCAUCAGUUUCAUGCCGAGUAAGUUUAUGUAUUUAUGCCACAGUGCUAUUUUUGUUUGGUAUGUUCAUAGUUCAUUCAUGCCAAUCGAGCAAAUGUUUUUGUUUCCUGUUUAAUUUAGAAAAUGUCAAUCAUUCACAGGUUGUUAAAAAAAAAAAAAGUGGAAUUGCUCUGACGUCAUCAACAUGCUGCUUACCGCCAAUAGGGGGCGUGGUUACAAGAUCAAUCAAUCAAUCAAUGUUUACUUAUAUAGCCCUAAAUCACUAGUGUCUCAAAGGGCUGCACAAACCACAACACGAACCACUACGACAUCCUCGGUAGGCCCACAUAAGGGCAAGGAAAACUCACACCCAGUGGGACGUCGGUGACAAUGAUGACUAUGAGAACCUUAGAGAGGACGAAAGCAAUGGAUGUCGAGCGGGUAUAACAUGAUACUGUGAAAGUUCAAUCCAUAAUGGAUCCAACACAGUCGCAAGAGUCCAGUCCAAAGCGGAUCCAACACAGCAGCGACAGUCCCGUUCACAGCGGAGCCAGCAGGAAACCAUCCCAAGCGGAGGCAGAUCAGCAGCGCAGAGAUGUCCCCAGGCAAUACACAGGCGAGCAGUACAUGGCCACCCGAUCGGACCGGACCCCCUCCACAAGGGAGAGUGGGACAUAGGAGAAAAAGAAAAGAAACGGCAGAUCAACUGGUCUAAAAAGGGAGUCUAUUUAAAGGCUAGAGUAUACGAAUGAGUUUUAAGGUGAGACUUAAAUGCUUCUACUGAGGUGGUAUCUCGAACUUUUACCGGGAGGGCAUUCCAUAGUACUGGAGCCCUAACAGAAAACGCUCUAUAGCCCGCAGACUUUUUUUGGGCUUUGGGAAUCACUAAUAAGCCGGAGUCCUUUGAACGCAGAUUUCUUGCCGGGACAUAUGGUACAAUACAAUGGGCAAAAUAGGAUGGAGCUAGACCGUGUAGUAUUUUAUACGUAAGUAGUAAAACCUUAAAAUCACAUAUUAAGUGAACAGGAAGCCAGUGCAGGUGAGCCAGUACAGGUAUAUAUAUAUAGGUAUAUAUGUACAGUAUAUAAAGGUACAUACAGUAUAGGCGUAAUGUGAUCAAACUUUCUUGUUCUUGUCAAAAGUCUAGCAGCCGCAUUUUGUACCAACUGUAAUCUUUUAAUGCUAGACAUGGGGAGACCCGAAAAUAAUACGUUACAGUAGUUGAGGCGAGACGUAACAAACGCAUGGAUAAUGAUCUCAGUGUCUCAGAAUGGAGCGAAUUUUAGCGAUAUUACGGAGAUGAAAGAAGGCCGUUAUAGUAACGCUUUUAAUGUGUGACUCAAAGGAGAGAGUUGGGUCAAAGAUAAUACCCAGAUUCUUUACCGAGUCGCCUUGUUUAAUUGUUUGGUUGUCAAAUGUUAGAGUUGUAUUAUUAAAUAGAGGUCGGUGUCUAGCAGGACCGAUAAUCAGCAUUUCCGUUUUUUUGGCAUUGAGGUACAAAAAGUUAGCGGACAUCCAUUGUUUAAUUUCAUUAAGACACACCUCCAGCUGACUACAAUCCGGCGUGUUGGUCAGCUUUAGGGGCAUAUGGAGUUGGGUGUCAUCAGCAUAACAGUGAAAGCUAACACCUUAUUUGCGUAUGAUGUCACCUAGCGGCAGCAUGUAGAUGCUGAAGAGUGCAGGGCCAAGGACCGAAUCCUGGGGAACUCCACACGUUACCUUAACGUAGUCCGAGGUCACAUUGUUAUGGGAGACGCACUGCAUCCUAUCAGUAAGAUAAGAGUUAAACCAAGACAGGGCUAAGUCUGACAUACCAAUUUGUGUUUUGAUACGUUCUAAUAAAAUAUUAUGAUCGACGGUAUCGAAAGCAGCGCUAAGAUCAAGGAGCAGCAACAUAGAUGAUGAAUCAGAAUCCAUCGUUAGCAAUAGAUCAUUAGUCAUUUUUGCGAGGGCUGUCUCCGUAGAGUGAUUUGCCCUGAAACCGGAUUGAAAGGUUUCACAUAGAUUGUUAGACGCUAAGUGUUCAUUCAACUGCUCCGCAACAAUUUUUUCAAGGAUUUUUGAAAUAAAGGGAAGGUGAGACACCGGUCGGUAGUUUACCAUGAGGUCAGGAUCGAGGUUAGGUCUUUUAAGAAGAGGAUGAAUUACCGCUUUUUUAAAUGCUAGGGGAACAGUGCCCGAGGAAAGUGAUAAGUUUAUAAUAUUUAGCACUGAUGGACCUAAUAAUACAAAGAGCUCCUUGAUCAGUUUCCCAGGAAGUGGGUCAAGUAAGCAUGUUGUUUGUUUUAUUCCAUUUACACGUUGUAACAAUUCCUCUAAUGUUAUUUCCUCAAAACGAGAGAAACUAUUUUGGAGGGCAGUAUCCGCCGUAUAUACAAUCGUGUCAGUGUUAAUAGAACCCAGUUGUAGCUGGGACGCAUUGUCCUUAAUCUCCUUUCUAAUGACUUCAAUUUCUUACUAAAGAAUUGCAUAAAGUGAUCAGCUGAGUGGGUGGAGCUACUGGAAGGAGCCCCUUGUUGGGUUAGCGAUGCUACCGUACUAAACAAAAAUUUAGGAUCGUUUUUAUUACGGUGGAUGAGAUUUGAGUAAUAUUUAGCUUUAGCUAAGGUAAGCAUGCGUUUGUAAGUUAUUAAACUAUCACUCCAUGCUUGAUGGUGCCCCUCAAGUUUAGUCGUGCGCCAUUUGCAUUCCAGCUUUCUACAUAAUAAUUUCUGAACUCUAGUUUCUUCUGUAAACCACGGGGUACGCUUUUUUGGAGCCUUUUUUAACUUUAGCGGUGCUAUGUUAUCAAUGGUUUCGCGCAGGGCGUCGUUAAAGUUGUUAGUAAGGUUAUCAAUAGAGCCCACAAACUUUGGGAAUGGUGCCAUUACCGAGGGCAGUAGGUCAGCAAGAGUUGUCGUUGUGGCCGUAUUAAUGUUGCGGCUGCUAUAGCAGUUAUUAUUAUUAUUAGUUUGACGAACAUGCGUCUGAACCUCGAAUUUUAGAAGGUAAUGAUCGGACAAUACUUUAGUAUACGGGAGUAUCGUAACUUUGGUAACGGUGAUACCCCUGACAAGCACUAGGUCUAUCGUAUUACCGUUGCGAUGCGUGGGUUCAUUUAUUAUUUGUGUGAGACCACAGCUAUCAAUUAUAGUCUGGAGCGCUACGCACGGUGGGUCCGAUGGGGUAUUCAUAUGGAUAUUAAAGUCCCCCAUUAUGAUUAUAUUAUCGGCGUGCGUCACUAGAUCAGCAACAAUCUCUGAGAAUUCAUUGAUAAAGUCCGAAUAGGGCCCUGGGGGCCGGUAGAUAACAGCCAGGUGUAGAGGCAGCGGUGUGACAGCCCUCAUAGUAAGCACCUCAAACGAUUUAUAUUUAUUAUUUAUGUUAGGACUAAGGUUAAAGUGUUCGUUGUAUAUUAGUGCGACCCCCCGACCCCUUUUAAGAGGACGGGCAAUAUGCGCAUGUGUAAAGUUAGGAGGCCAUGCCUCAUUUAGCGCAAAAAAGUCAUUUGGUUUAAGCCAGGUUUCGCUGAGACCGAUGACGUUAAGAUUGUUGUCUCUGAUGAUAUCAUUAACUAACAACGUUUUGUGAGACAAUGAUCUUAUGUUUAAAAAACCUAUAUUAUAGGUAGUGGGCUGUUUUAGGGAAUUUUUGAUCAAAUUAUCCGUAGUAGCAAUAUUAAUAAUGUUGUGUUUAUUAUGCACAGUGCAUUUAGUAUAAUUACGACCAUAUCUAGGAAUUGAUACGACGGGAAUUUUCCGAUUGUUUGUUUGUUGCUUUGAUAAACUGCACGCAUCAUAGUUAGCCACCUCAGUAGAACACAUGUCCAACUCUGAAACAAUCAAAGCAGAAAAAACUUGUUCUAAUUUAACUGACUCCUUACCCAGACCAGUAGUCUCGCAUCUUCCAUUUAAAUCCGGCUUCAGGAUGGAGGGAAGUGGUGUUCUGUGGGGAUUAGCCUUCUGCUUUGUUUUUAGCCCCGCUCGGCAUCCGCGUUUCCGAUCACACCGCUGGCGUCUGCUCCGUAGACGGCCCCCGCUGGUACUAUACUCCGCUGCUUCACAGGCCGCUGGAUGUAGCCGAAGUAUUCCCGUGCUAGUUUUUGAUCACUUUAUGACUUUUAUUGAUCACUUUAUGGCAUUUAUAAGGAGAGCUUGUUUUCAUCCUUUAUCUUUUGUUUUUUAAUACUUUUAAUUUGAUAUUUUAGACUUUUAAUUUAAUCUGUUAGACUUUUAAUUGUUUUCAUCUUUUAGACUUAAUUUUGUCUUUUAGACUUUUGUUUCCAUCUUUUAGACUUUUAAUUGUUUUUAUAUUUGAUCUUUUAAUUGCUUUCAUUUUUUCUCUUUUGAUUAUUUUCAUCUUUUAAAUAGUUUGUAUCUUUUAUCAUUUAAUUGUUUUUAUUUUUAACACUUUUAAUUUAAACUUUUAGACUUUUAAUUUAAUCUUUGAGCCGUUUAAUUUUUCUAAAAUCUUUUAGACUUUUAAUUUAAUCUCUUGGACUAAUAAUUGUUUUAAUCUUUUAGACUUUUAAUUGUUUAGAGUUGUAACCUUUGAGACUUUGAAAAUGUGAGACUUUUGGAGGUUUGACCUUGAGGUUUCCGUGCCAACAAUUCUGUUCAAUGACCAUGACCUUGAAGCGAGAAGGUCAAACUUUCCCCUCAAACGUCAAAAAUCUAACGACCACACUCGGCAUGGAAAUACAUUUUAAUUUGAAGGGGAUUGUAAAUAUCUCACUGUAGUAUUAAAACUGGAUUGUUAUUAUUAUUGUAUUAUUAUUAUUAUCACAAUGCUCAAUACUUUCAUAAUCAUCAUUCAAAUUGUUAUCAUCAUUACUGUUACGGCGCACACUGCGGGAGCCUCUGGAGGCUCGGCGGUGAGCACUGCAGGACACCCCCCCGCCCCCCCACUGCAUGCGCCGCCACAGCCGGAGGCAAUCGGCAGUCAGCGCACCUGGUCUUGAUGAAGAGUGAGCACUGCAGGACAACCCCCCACCCUGCACGCGCCGCCACAGCCGGAGGCAAUCGGCAGUCAGCACACCUGGUCUUGAUGAAGAGUAGCAGCAUAAAGGCUAACUCAGCAGACUGGACUGUGCCAGAACCUAGCGCCUGUCUCAGAUCUCCCCCAGGACCCUGACUGCACUCCUCCAUCCUCCACUUUUCGGACCCGUCCCUCAGGACCUCAGGAUGUCUCUCUCCAGCCCCACAGACCUCACUUGGAUCACGGACCUCUUUUGCCCCGCCCCUUUGGAC